CAGCAGCCGCGGGAAUACGAGGGGGGCAAGCGUUGUUCGGAAUUAUUGGGCGUAAAGGGUGCGUAGGCGGUUUGAUAAGUCUUGUGUGAAAUCUCUGGGCUCAACCCAGAGUCUGCACAGGAAACUGUCGGGCUUGAGUAUUGGAGAGGUGAGUGGAAUUUCCGGUGUAGCGGUGAAAUGCGUAGAUAUCGGAAGGAACACCUGUGGCGAAAGCGGCUCACUGGACAAUUACUGACGCUGAUGCACGAAAGCUAGGGGAGCAAACAGGAUUAGAUACCCCGGUAGUCCCUGUCUCUUAUAC
This 301-nucleotide ribosomal RNA is filed under the name uncultured bacterium. RNAcentral's name for it is "partial 16S ribosomal RNA". It matches the Rfam family "Bacterial small subunit ribosomal RNA", at positions 509 to 807 of the family's 1533-position model. The record is from RNAcentral.